This 21-nucleotide microRNA is filed under the name Vriesea carinata. RNAcentral's name for it is "vca-miR168b-3p". Its record names the gene vca-miR168b-3p. Lineage: Eukaryota; Viridiplantae; Streptophyta; Magnoliopsida; Poales; Bromeliaceae. The record is from miRBase by way of RNAcentral.
CCCGCCUUGCACCAACUGAAU